GGGUCUCCAUGGGAUCACACGCUGGACCAAAGGCAAGCGCCAAACCACUGAGCCACCGGGGCUGCCCUGCAUCCUAUUUUUUAAUUGGCCUGUGACAGUAUAUUAGUUUCAGAUGUACAGCACGACGACGUGAUAAUAGUAUAUUCGUUUCAGGUGUACAGCACAAUGACGCGUGAAAGUGCCUCCUACUUUCCAAAUCACGUUUUCUUUGUUUCCUUUGUUGUUCUCAUUUAAUCCUUUAAUUUGGGGGAUUAAGAUUUUUAUGUUUCAUUUCUGAGGAAUGUAAAAAUGUGAUUGACCGUCAAAAUAAGACGGCCAGGUAUUUUGCCAGCAAACAUGGGUUUGAGAAUAGCAAGAGAAUUGAAAUUUGGGAUAAGCAGGGUAUGGCGAAAUCAUAGGCAAAUCCCCAGAACAAGAGAGGAAUGUUGGUUUAUAGGGGAAAGGGGGAGGUUGGGAAGGCUGUCGCAAAUAAAAAGCCCAUUGGAAUAAACAGAGUUGGAAGUAGAAUGGCUUUUCAGGGGCUGUGGGUUGUGACAAUCUUUUAUUGGCUGGGCUGUUGCCAAGGCAGAGGAAAACCUUCCUCCUGCCGGGGUCCUAAAAUAAUAGCAAAAGUACAUGGACUUGCAAAGUUAUGCUCUUCCGGUUGAGUCUGCAGUUGACUAGGAGCGGUAGGUGUGAGAGCUCUCCCAGCUGGCCUCUCAACUCCAUUAUGGUUAGAUUGCCUUAUAUUCUCACAGAUUUAUAUGUACAUAUAUAUAGUAUAUACAAAUAUAUGUGUAUUUUAAAGAUUUUAUGUUUAUUCAUGAGGCAGAGAUAUAGGCAGAGGGAGUAGCAGGCUCCUUGUGGGGAGCCUGAUGUGAGACUUGGUCCCAGGACCCCAGGAGCCGAAAGCAGAGGCCCAACCACUGAGCCACCCAGAAGCCCCUUAUUCUCACAGAUUUAAAAGGUAUUUAGUACAAAAGUUCCACAUUUGUGGCUGCUGUAGCCUUGCCUAUAGGACUCGUUUAGUCUACGAAUAUAUUUUUUCCUUUUCCGUGAAUUAAGUAGUUUCACAUUUAAAAAAAUGACCUACUGUGAAAGAUUGGGAAAUCUGACCUUGAAAUUAUAAACAAACUUGAAAUAAAUAUCCUGAGUAGCUGGAAUUUUAUCAUUGAAUAUGUGGUAGAUAAUACAACACCACCAGAUAGUGAUAAAUGUGGAGAAAACAAAAGGGUGAAAGGAUCAAAAUUGAUGAGGGCUGUUGUUUACCCAGCAUGGUCAGAGUCCCUUUCUUUGUGUGGGGAACGUUUAACCAGAGUGGAGUUAGGGGGCCUCAUUUACUUACAAGAUUCUAAACUAGGAUUUAGAGUCUGAACGUUUUUGAUGAGCUGGUAGGGCCACUGGCUCACAAACAUCUGUUUGUAUGAAUUUAGUUUUUAGAGAGAAAGGAGUAUUCAAGAAAAAGGUAGGUGCACAAGUACCCAAAACCAGAGGAAAAGAAGAUUAAUUCCUCAACCUGUGCCAUGGGUUAGGUUUUAACUUCUAGUGUGGUACUUAAUAUUCUAGGGAUCAGAGAUCCCUCUGAAAAUGAGAUGAAAUCUGUUGUCUGUCCCCCCCAAAGUACACAAUGCAUACAGUAGAAGCUCUUCCUAACCACUGUCCACUUAACUAAUGUUCUCAAUACCCUUUCUGAAACAUGCCAGCUGAUCCCUAGAAAAUACUAAAGACUCACAGCUAGUAGCUUUCACUUUGGUUCACACCUAUGUAUCUGCUUCCACCAAUUGAGUGGAAUGCUUAGCAAGGGUCAGUUGUAUUUGCUACCAAUCUAUUUCCAUCAUAGGCCUCAUAAUUAUAUAAUUACACAAAUUGAUAAAAUUUGAGUCUGCAAAGAAAAAGAAUUGUUUUUUUCAGGUAUUUAUUUAUUGUACAGCGAGUGAGAGAGCACAAGCAGGAGGGUAGAGUGAGAGGGAGAGAGAAUCCGAAAACAAACUCAUGCUGAGUAUGGAGCCCGACAGGAAGUUUGAUCUCAUGAGUCCAAAGAUCAUGACCAGAGCCAAAACCAAAAGUCAGAGGCUUUAACAGGACAGAGACUGUCCCACCCAGGUGCCCCAGGAAUUACUGUUUUUAGGAAGACCAAAAAUGCGUUGGGAAGACAGGAUAAAGCACCCUGGGCUCCGAGGACCUGAAGAAGAGGACACCUACUCAACACAAUCUUGCCUAGAAGACAAUCAGAAAUAUUUGAUCACUAAAUAAAGGCACCAAACCACCAUCAGAAAGAGAAGGAACAGAACUGCAAAACCAUAAAAACAAUAAAACAAGUAGCAAAAUGGCAGAAGUGCAUACCUAUCAAGAAUAACUUUGAAUAUAAAUGGACUAAAUACUCCAAUCAAAGGGAUAAAGUGAUUGAAUGGAUAAAAUAAAACCACCUAUAUGCUACUUA
Molecule: long non-coding RNA, 2419 nt
Organism: Canis lupus familiaris (dog)
Lineage: Eukaryota; Metazoa; Chordata; Mammalia; Carnivora; Canidae
Exons: 3
Source: RefSeq, a predicted model, not a curated record